UACGGAGGGUGCAAGCGUUAAUCGGAAUUACUGGGCGUAAAGCGUGCGCAGGCGGUUUGUUAAGUCCGCUGUGAAAUCCCCGAGCUCAACUUGGGAAUUGCAGUGGAUACUGGCAAGCUGGAGUAUGGUAGAGGAAGGUGGAAUUCCCGGUGUAGCAGUGAAAUGCGUAGAUAUCGGAAGGAACACCAGUGGCGAAAGCGGCUUCCUGGUCCAGCACCGACGUUCAGGCACGAAAGCGUGGGGAGCAAACAGG
This 253-nucleotide ribosomal RNA is filed under the name uncultured bacterium. RNAcentral describes it as "partial 16S ribosomal RNA". It matches the Rfam family "Bacterial small subunit ribosomal RNA", at positions 524 to 776 of the family's 1533-position model. The record is from RNAcentral.